This is a small nucleolar RNA of Aotus nancymaae (Ma's night monkey), 152 nucleotides long. The record is from Ensembl. NCBI's taxonomy places the organism in Eukaryota, Metazoa, Chordata, Mammalia, Primates, Aotidae.
UCUUGUGUUAGUUUUCUUUUUGGUACAUUUGUUAAGUUUUCAAAUGGGCCUACCACUGCCACGUGUAUUAUAUUGGAGCUGGCAAAGGCCUGUGACAGAUCUCUCUCAAGCCUUUCAGGCCUUUCCUGCCUCAGAGAAUGGCUCCCACAUGU